Molecule: ribosomal RNA, 467 nt
Filed under: uncultured bacterium
Lineage: Bacteria
Description: partial 16S ribosomal RNA
Rfam family: Bacterial small subunit ribosomal RNA
Source: RNAcentral
GAUGAACGCUGGCGGCGUGCUUAACACAUGCAAGUCGAACGGAAAGGCCUCUUUCGGGUGGUACUCGAGGGGCGAAGGGGUGAGUAACACAUGAGUAACCCGCCCUUUACUUUGGGAUAGCUGCAGAAGACUGGGGAUACUACCUGAUAGGAGCUCCUGCUUCAGGGUGGCGGCCGGAGAGUUUCGGCGGUUGGGGAUGGACUGGCGGCUUAUCAGCUUGUUAGAGGGGGAGUGGCUUACGAAGGCCUUGGCGGGUAGCCGGCCUGUGAGGGUGAGCGGCCACAUUGACACUGAGAGACGGCCGAGACUGCUACGGGAGGCAGCAGGGGGGAAUAUUGCACAAGGGAUGGAGGCCUGAUGCAGCAAGGCCGUGUGCGGGAUGACCGCCUUCUGGUUGUAAACCGGCUUCGCUCAUGACGAAGGUUUGUGUGACGGUAGUGGGUAAAGAAGCACCGGCUAACUACGUG